RNAcentral lists this ribosomal RNA (446 nucleotides) under uncultured bacterium. RNAcentral's name for it is "partial 16S ribosomal RNA". It matches the Rfam family "Bacterial small subunit ribosomal RNA", at positions 338 to 795 of the family's 1533-position model. The record is from RNAcentral.
GCUACGGGAGGCAGCAGUCGAGAAUCAUUCACAAUGGGGGAAACCCUGGUGGUGCGACGCCGCGUGGGGGAAUGAAGGUCUUCGGAUUGUAAACCCCUGUCAUGUGGGAGCAAAUUAAAAAGAUAGUACCACAAGAGGAAGAGACGGCUAACUCUGUGCCAGCAGCCGCGGUAAUACAGAGGUCUCAAGCGUUGUUCGGAACCACUGGGCGUAAAGCGUGCGUAGGCUGUUUCGUAAGACGUGUGUGAAAGGCGCGGGCUCAACCCGCGGACGGCACAUGAUACUGCGAGACUAGAGUAAUGGAGGGGGAACCGGAAUUCUCGGUGUAGCAGUGAAAUGCGUAGAUAUCGAGAGGAACACUCGUGGCGAAGGCGGGUUCCUGGACAUUAACUGACGCUGAGGCACGAAGGCCAGGGGAGCGAAAGGGAUUAGAUACCCGUGUAGUC